This is a long non-coding RNA of Sphaerodactylus townsendi, 3338 nucleotides long. RefSeq lists it as uncharacterized. Lineage: Eukaryota; Metazoa; Chordata; Lepidosauria; Squamata; Sphaerodactylidae. The record is from RefSeq and is a predicted model, not a curated record. The transcript has 2 exons.
GGUUUGCCACCAGAUCUCAAGAGUUGUUUGAAACAGAAACAAAAACCCACAGCGGCCAAGCCUCGGACACCCCCAUCCCCUGUCCCAGCUUAACAUCUUGGCAGACUUUCGAAGAGCCCAGACAGGUUUGUGGCGCUCCAGGUGGGCCACAUCAAUGCAGAACCAUUAUUUUAAAAAAACACAUUUGAGCCUGUUAAGAGGGAUUGUGGCAAAUGUUCAUGGAAAAGAGGGCCAGCCAAGGUGGGUUGUCUUCUACACAGGCUCGUGCUCUCAACUGCUGGGGGGUCUCAACUGUCUUUUUUAAAAAAACCGAGUCAGUGUUUAUCCCCUCAUGCUGCAAAUUCUGGCUUGAAAGUGUGAUUUGAGGAAUAGGAAAUCCUCGGUCGUUUUCCGACUUACUGUCCGACUUACUUUCCGACUUGGCGCGCUACUGCCGCCAAGUAGCGCGGGGUCCCCCGGCACUCCCCACUACAGGGCCGGCGACAACGCAGCCGCCCCGACGCUGCUGCUGUCGCGCCCCCUCAGCGCGCAUCAUUCCUGGCGCUCCUCAAAACGGCGGGGAAGCCCGGGAGCGCGCCAGAAAUGACGCGCGCGGAGAGUAGCGCGCAGCACAGGGUGGUCGAGGUAAGUGGGGCAACGACCCUCCAAAGAGUACGGCAUUACGUUGAGCAGAUAGCUCCUGAAGUGGAAUUUUCUUCAGCAGAAUACACGAUGGAAGGAAUAUGUUGUUUUUGGUAGAAGAAACUGGCUCUUCAUAGAAGGUUGGGCGAAGACCACGAAGGCAACAGGCAUGGAUCCUCUCCAGAAGUUUCAUUUGCAUCUGGCAUUUCCCCCAUUGUUUUGAAAAGGAUUUCUGGAGCCGCCUUUAAAACACCGCUUCCCCAAUAAUAAUAAUACCUCCAGCAGCCCUUGGCAUCAGUCUCAGCGGGCCUUGAAAUUGGGGUUGUGAGAUUGUCCUGCUCUGGGAUGCGUCUCAGGCUGCCUCUCCCGAGGCCCCGCUCUGCCUUCUCGCUCUUCCCUGCCAUCUCCACCCAUCUAGUCCUGCAGGCCAUGGCUUUCUCCCAGCCCACUUCUUGGCUGUGGGCCUCUCUGCCAAUCAGUUCUGUUAUCUGAGCAGCUUUUCACCCUGACGUCAAGAAUGGAGAAAUCUUUGGCUUGGAGGAUCGGGACGUGGUUCUCCUGGUUGUCCGAACUGUUCGGGUUGCAGAAGCCUUGCUUUCCAAGAGCUCAAGGCUACCAUCUUCCCUGCCCAUGGUGGUCAGGAUAACAGCACUGGAAACCAGAGCUGAUUGGGGCUGGUUUCUGUCAGAAAUUAUAAGCAUCUGAGUCCUCACAUUUCAGGGUUUUAGACGGGUUCCAGAUUUGGAGAAAUGCAAGAGGUAAACUUGUCCCCUUGCUUAGGGCUUUGCCAGAUCAUAGCAGGUCUCACAGACUGUUCUGCUGUGGGGCAGAGGCCUACCUAAAAACUUGGGAGUGUUGCAGACCCCUGAGCUAGAGCGAUUUCCAACCCCUCACGUGACCAAUGCAGAUAAGACCUCCAUGCAGUGGACAGAUUCUGCUGUCCUAGAUUGAAGCAAGAGGGCAAAUUGUGGAGCCCAGUGGUUGAUUUCCCUUCCCAGAGGAUACGCAAAGCUACUGCCAAAGCCCUGUGGGGACUCCACCACUCCGAAGGGUGACACCCUCCGUUGCCUUUGUGUCCUCUUUCCGGUUUUUUUGUUGUAACAUUUUGGGUCUUGCUUUUUCUGGCCCAUCAGCCCACACACAGCGGAGGGGGCCAGUGGUUAUCUGCAGAGGUUUAACAACGAGACGCUCUUCUGUUAGGCCAGGACACAAUGACCUCACUUUUUUAAAGCAAGAUGGAUCCAGUGUUGCCAAGUUCUGGACUGUGGAAGGGCCAGCUCUGCACAUUCUUCUCUCUGCUGCCAGAUAGGCAGCUGCUGCCCCCAGUCACAGCUCACCUGCAGCCUUCAGAGGCAGCCGCCUCCUGACUCCUCGGCUGCCGCCGCUGAACGGCCACAGCGCUGGGGCAGCGAAGCAGGAGGGCCCUGGUAUGGGAAGAGUCUGGGUCUGGAGUCGCGCCUUCAGCCACAUGGCGUGGAAUUCUUGGCGGCUCCAUCUCGUGACCACAAACGAAAUGCGAUGGGUGCUUGGAAGAGCUACGGGCCGCCCUCCCCCUUGGCAUCCGGGGCGCCCCCUCGUGUGGCAUGACCCCACGCUGGUGCAACAUUGCCGCGCCCGGCAAGCCACCCUCUCCUGCCCCUUGGCUGCCCCUCGUCCCGAUGCCCUGUCCUCCAGAACGGUCAACCUGCUGGAGGCAUCCCAGGACACAGUGGAAGAUGAGACCUGUGUAAAGCAAGGCAAGGCAGCGCGGGCGUAUGCGGCGAAGUGCAAGUGUUUUGUAUACAUGUAUGUAGUGUAGAUAGGUACACUGUAUAAAUAUUCUCAUUCAUCAUAUACAUAUAUUAUACCCAUAGCAAUUACAGACUUUUAAGUGUUAUCUUUGUGUUCCCAGUUCUUUUUGUGUUUCAGCGUCUUGGGGUUUCCCGCUCAUUUUUAUGUGCUUUAUGAAAGCAACGACUCUACAUUGGAACCUCCCUUCUGGUCCCCACCUCACCCCCUUCAAUGGCGGGCGUCGAGGGCAGACCUGCGCAACCCCCCGGGAAUUGUUGCAUCUAUUUUAGGAUGCUUUUGGGGAGGAGGGGGUAGGGGAAGCAAGAGGCGGACUCAACCCUAGCUUUAGCAUUUCCCAACACAUAGAAAAUGGAUGCCUUUGCUGUGGAGCGCAUAGCUGAAAAAGAAAUCUAGAAAGGAUGACAAAGAUAAAAAUUAAAGAUUUUUUUAAAAGGUAAACAAAAUAUCUAAAAUGACAAUGAAGUUAAAAUAUCUAUUUUUGUACAAAUGUAAUUUUAACCCUUGCAUAUUCUUACAUAAUUUUGGGGGGGGUGUUUUUCUGCUAUUAUAAAAUUUGUUCUAAAUCUCUCAUGUGUAUGUUCAGCCUACAACAGUGCAGGCAAACGUUUUCAAGACUGUGCAGAAAUCAGCUUUUAUCGGCUGCCUUCUUCAGAGAUCAUGUUCUCCUUCAGAGGAAUGGAUUUUCCUUUUCCCCUGGCCUUCUUGCAAAACCAGACCACGGGUCUUCUGUUGUGCCCCAGCCAGCACUCUCCUUCAGGUCUACUCUACUGUGAAAUCACUACCACAUAUUAUUGUUCACUACAAAAAAGUUUUAAAAAAAUAAAUAAAUAACGUUCUGCUGGAAAUUGCAGUAUUUUGAACAAAUGUAUUAGAAUUGUUUUUUUAAAAAGUAAAAGAAAAAUAUAUGAGCAUUUUAAAAUUUAAAU